CUGGACGACUUUUCCCCCGUCUUCCACAACCCCGAGUCCCCAACCCACCACGGCGUUGCGGAAUCCACCUGCAACUGCAAGCCCACGAAAUCGAGCCGAGCCCCGACGCCACCAAAUCGUGUGGCCUCGGAGAUCGAGCAGGGUCUGGAAGAACCAGGGGAGAGACCGUCAGAAGAGGAGGACCAGCAGCAGGCAGGCGGUGGUGGCGAAGUCGUCGGCGUCGGCGGCCGGGGUAUCUACGAUGAUAACCCGGUCGAAGCUGGUGGAGCAACUGCGCGACUACCAGAUCCGAUCCCAGCACAAGCGUGA
RNAcentral lists this unclassified non-coding RNA (309 nucleotides) under Zea mays. RNAcentral's name for it is "misc RNA Zm00001eb217650". The record is from RNAcentral. Lineage: Eukaryota; Viridiplantae; Streptophyta; Magnoliopsida; Poales; Poaceae.